GGACAUGUCAGAUCUUUUUACAGGAGAAGUGGACAGGAAGCAAGGAGCAUCUAUUCCCUCACUGAGGAGCUCACAAGGAUUUCUGUGAUUCUGUGAUGACUGCUUACCUGUACGAUCUUCCAGAACCAUUUUACACAGCUGAGCACGGAACGCUGCUAAGAAGUUGGAUGUUUGCCUGUCUCAUCUACGAAGGGAGCAGCCAACUGCUGGUUACCUCCUUAUGUUAGUAUCUGGCAUUUGAUCAUUCAGAGAACUACCUGAAGCUCGGUUUUACUUGGAUGAUGUAUUUCUUCUAUUUUUCUGAAGAAAGCACCUUCAUUUCAUCUGUAUCUGGAACUGACAUAGAAAGCAAGUGGGAGCCCAACCUCUAUGGGCUUUGUCCCUGGAGAGCCUGAAAGGACACAUCAGAGCUGCUUCCCGAGGCUGGUGUGCAGGACUGUGUGCAGGACUUCCAGAGGAACAUCUGGAGCUCUCCACGGACCAGCCCAACCAGCAAAAGCUUACUGAAGAAGGGCAGUUUCAUCGCCUGCAUCAAGCACCCAGGAGCACAGCUGGCUGAUGCCACUGCCAGCAUCCAGGCAGACUCUUGUGAUCCCAGCCACAGCCAGCAGCCUGCAUGUAGAUUGAUUUCACUCUCAGUUUUGCAGCUCGGGCCAACUGGGAAUGUAAACCGCACUGACCAAGCAGAGUUGGGGAAGUUGCCAGCAAAUGCAGAAAAAAGGAAAGGAAGGAAGAUGUGGAAAGCAUGAGCUCAAACUGUUCACCAAAUCAUUGCACGUUUUGCACGGGACUUUGAGAACGAGGCUGCCUUAAUCCCAUUCUGCAAAGAGUCUGUGCUGAAGACCUUGGCUUGAGCUUGAGUUGUGGGAGGAAAACAGCAGGAAACACCACGCAUGAGGUAAGUUCACAGACUGGGGUGCUCCCUGCCUGCUCCCAGCAGACAUCUCUCUGCUCCCCACUUUCCCAGCACAUCUGUGUGCAGGGCAGUCACACUGCCUCCAUGCAAGCACUGCACCCCUCUCAGCCUCACCCCACUUGGAAGCAUGACUUCCAUGAGAGCAGACACUUUUAGUGUGAAAUGGAAAGGACCUGAGUGCAGAUUGAGGACAGGGAGUAUGGAGCAAGGCAUGCUGUCUCCAAAGCGAGGAAAAAAAAUACAGAUGUAGAAACAGGUGUUCAGGAUACGUCUUUCCCACCUUACAUCCCUGUCCAAGCUAAUCCACAUUUGAGGACACAAAACAGUGUAAGCAUUCCUCUUUCUCCCGAUACAACUACAUUCAUUCUUCCAUCCCACAGCUUUCAGCACCAGGCGUAUUCCAUCCACACAGAGCAUAGCUUGCAUACCUCCUCAACCACAAACACACAUCCUACUCAUAGUCUUCCAUGCUUGCAAGCACAGAGCAAGUGGAGAAUAUUGCACUUCACUUAGAUGUUGGCCAUUGCUCCAAGGUGUGUGUGGUGAGCAGGAGAUCCUCCUCGUCACUGCUGGUUCUCCUCAGCCACACUAAAUCAGACAGUCAUUGCUUCUUCUUUUUCAAAACAAAGUGAUCUGUGAAAUAAAGGGAGAAAAUGUGAUUCA
Molecule: long non-coding RNA, 1579 nt
Organism: Coturnix japonica (Japanese quail)
Lineage: Eukaryota; Metazoa; Chordata; Aves; Galliformes; Phasianidae
Source: Ensembl